RNA transcript from Pseudopipra pipra, 1495 nucleotides. It is a transcript of the gene named MYST/Esa1 associated factor 6, with no coding region annotated. The transcript is spliced from 9 exons. The record is from RefSeq and is a predicted model, not a curated record. NCBI's taxonomy places the organism in Eukaryota, Metazoa, Chordata, Aves, Passeriformes, Pipridae.
GUGCCGCCGCCGCCCCCUCGCGGCCGCCGCCGGUAGCGCGCGCCCCGCCCCGCGCAGGCCGCGCCGCCAUGGCCGCGCUGCACGCCAAGGCCGGCGGGCCCCCGCAGAUCCCCGACACCCGCCGGGAGCUCGCCGAGCUGGUGAAGCGCAAGCAGGAGCUGGCGGAGACGCUGGCAAACCUGGAGCGGCAGAUCUACGCCUUCGAGGGCAGCUACCUGGAGGACACGCAGAUGUACGGGAACAUCAUCCGCGGCUGGGAUCGGUACCUCACCAACCAGAAGAACUCCAACAGCAAAAACGACCGGAGGAACCGCAAGUUCAAGGAGGCCGAGAGGCUCUUCAGCAAGUCCUCGGUCACCUCGGCAGCGGCUGUCAGUGCUUUAGCUGGAGUCCAGGACCAGCUCAUUGAGAAGCGGGAGCCAGGCAGUGGCACAGAGAGUGACACUUCUCCAGACUUCCACAACCAGGAGAAUGAGCCCAAUCAGGAGGAUGCUGAAGAGCUGGAUGGCUCCGUGCAGGGGGUGAAGCCCCAGAAAGCUGCUUCCUCCACUUCCUCUGGGAGCCACCACAGCAGCCACAAAAAGCGGAAGAACAAAAACAGACACAGCCCGUCUGGCAUGUUUGAUUAUGACUUUGAGUAUGUAUAUUAGGUUAGGCUGGGAAGUUUUUUUUAAAAACAGAAAAGCGUGAUGGAGGAUUGAUCUCAAGUUAAACAAAAAGCCAAGAGCCGACUACUAGAGCCAUGAGUGCUGAUGCUCCUAGGAUUUUGGUCUGUGACUCCCCACUGAGAAGCCCUGAAGCAGGAUGGCAGCUGCAGCUGGAGUGACUCACUCUGAGGGACUUGGAUGGGGGGAGGAAAUCCUGGACCGUGUACUUUGCGUCAUUUUUAAAUCACCUGAGUUGCAGGAAGACUGAGGUGGUGUAGGUAGUAGUAGUAGUCCUGAAUUCCUGACUGUUCUGUGCUUCCACCUGGGUCGGGAACUGCUGAAAUGGCUGAUGCUGCUGCCCCCCUGCCACCUGCAGACCCACAGAGAGGCAUUUCCUUUGCCACUGGAACUGGGGUAGAAUUCAGUGUGUCCCAUCCAUGUUGUGAGACUUAGAUUACUUUUGUUGCUGAUAUUUAGCUUUGUAGGUUUGGUUUGGUUUUUUGUUGGUUUUAUUGUGUUUUUUUUAAAGCCAAAGUGUAUAGUUAAAAGUCGACUUUGAGUUUCUUUGUUUAAUCCUUGUAGUGGAAGGUUCUUCAUUUUGUGGAGCAGCUUGUUUGAUUCUUACUCAAGCAGAGAAGGUGGUUUAACCCUUUUCUCUUUCAUUUUAAACACCAUCUCCCAAGAUUCCACAGUGAUUUAGGUGCAGGAAGGGCCAGAGCUCAGAGCCAACUUGCUCUUUGCUGUCGCUGACUUUGGGUGGAUUCUCUUUUUAAUACAAACUUCUGUCAUUUGUACAUAAACAAUAAAAGUUCCAUGUUUGUCUCUUCCCAUGGUUCGUUCAGUCCAAA